This 88-nucleotide transfer RNA is filed under the name Clostridia bacterium. RNAcentral describes it as "tRNA-Ser". It matches the Rfam family "tRNA". From Rfam's summary of the family: Transfer RNA (tRNA) molecules are approximately 80 nucleotides in length. Their secondary structure includes four short double-helical elements and three loops (D, anti-codon, and T loops). Further hydrogen bonds mediate the characteristic L-shaped molecular structure. tRNAs have two regions of fundamental functional importance: the anti-codon, which is responsible for specific mRNA codon recognition, and the 3' end, to which the tRNAs corresponding amino acid is attached (by aminoacyl-tRNA synthetases). tRNAs cope with the degeneracy of the genetic code in two manners: having more than one tRNA (with a specific anti-codon) for a particular amino acid; and 'wobble' base-pairing, i.e. permitting non-standard base-pairing at the 3rd anti-codon position. The record is from RNAcentral. Lineage: Bacteria; Bacillati; Bacillota; Clostridia.
GGAGAGAUGUCAGAGUGGUUGAAUGAGCACGAUUGGAAAUCGUGUUUACCGAAAGGUAACGCAGGUUCAAAUCCUGUUCUCUCCGCCA